CUUAAACUUUGUAACAGCUGCAUCAGCCACCAUUUCAAUCUCCAUUGGAGACUUAUUUUGCUGCUGAAUUUGUUGAGAUUGAGACUGUGAUAAUAAUCUGAUGAGUUUCUCAACACUCUCAAGACCAGAAGCAGCUUCUUGCACAACUGAUUUUUCUUCUAAUUUCGCAACGAAGUUAAUACAAUUAGUAUUAUUGUUAUUUCUAGUGCUUCUGUAAUCCAUCAUUAGCUCCACAGCCAUAUUAUAGUAACUAAUUUAGACAAAUGAG
This 268-nucleotide unclassified non-coding RNA is filed under the name Hevea brasiliensis (rubber tree). Lineage: Eukaryota; Viridiplantae; Streptophyta; Magnoliopsida; Malpighiales; Euphorbiaceae. The record is from RNAcentral.